Molecule: RNA transcript, 1288 nt
Organism: Papaver somniferum (opium poppy)
Lineage: Eukaryota; Viridiplantae; Streptophyta; Magnoliopsida; Ranunculales; Papaveraceae
Exons: 9
Source: RefSeq, a predicted model, not a curated record
UUUAUUCUCUCAUCCCCCAUCACUCUCUCCUUCUUCCUCGCCUUUACUUAUUUCACUGAUCUCUGCUCCAACGAAAAAAAAAUACGGUAAAUCAUUCCCACUUCCGCUAUCACCAAAACACCACCACUAUGAACUAAGCUUGCAGAUUUUUCUCGGUGAUUGAAGGUGUUUUUUACACAGAUCUGAUGGAUUUUUUACAGGGAGGACAAGAAUGAGUAGAAGUUGGUUUUAGUGGCGGUGGUGAUGAAGAAUACUCAAUCAUGGCUGAACAGGUUUAUUGGAAGGAACUUGAGGUAUCCCAAUGAUCGAAAGCCUCCUGGAAAGGGAGGAAACCAAUAAUACAAGAAUGCUGGUUUGGGAUUCAAGACUUCCAAAGAGGCCAUUGAAGGUCAUAUUGAAUUCAAAGUUUCUUUCAACAAUAUUAAAAAUGACUAAUACAGAUAGAAAGUCUUUCUCCUUCAAUACGGCAUUGCAUACAUAUUUUAGUGCUUCUGUUAUAGUGGCCUUAGUGGAUGCUCGCCUAGGUUAUAGGACGCUGAACAAGGAUCCAGACCCUAUGGCUUCGUUUAGUCUCGCUUACUUGUUCAUAUUGUUUCCUUUUCAGGGUAUAUGCUCUCUACGUGACACAGAACAAGAUGAUAACAAGUGGCCCCUUGUCAUGACUAGUUGGAAGGUAGAUGGAUGGUAUUGAUAAGUCUGGACUAGAUUGUCUCUCCCUAGAUUUGCAAUGUUGUUCCCAAGCAUUGGGAACUUGUCAAUAGUUUGGGAGUAUUUGGUAUCCUUUUGUAGUUUAUUUCUGUCAUAUGGAUGCAAAUAAAAUAGCAUAGCAAAUUGUAAUAGACUCUUAAGUGUGGUGUGUAAGGUAGUAGUUUCUGCACACUGGGGUGUUUGCAAAAUUUGCCAAGGUUUAGGCUUUUAUGUUCUACUUGCUGUGCAGUUUGUGUAUUCACGAUGAUCCACUUCAGGAUUUUAAUACUUUGGUUUAUGUUGGUAAAGUGCAGAUCCUACAAGAAUGUUGAUUUGGGAUUCAAGACUCCUGGAGAAGCUACUGAAGGUAUGUUGUUCUGAAAUUGUUGGCUCAAUUCAUCAUCCGGAAGGAUCUCGUUUUGCUAGUUGCAUUUGUCUUUAUGAACCUUAGAACUUAAAUAUAUGACUUGUAUGAAUUCAGGACUUGAUCAUUUAUUUUCUUUUGUGAUUUAGAACCCGACUGUAAGUUGAAUUUAGUUAUGAAUUGUGUAACAAAUACAAUGAUUUUUAUAUAAUGGCCAUUUGAGUUUAUAAAUCCAAG